RNAcentral lists this unclassified non-coding RNA (249 nucleotides) under plant metagenome. RNAcentral describes it as "partial contains small subunit ribosomal RNA, internal transcribed spacer 1, and 5.8S ribosomal RNA". The stretch from base 201 to 249 matches the Rfam family "5.8S ribosomal RNA", at positions 1 to 49 of the family's 154-position model. The record is from RNAcentral.
UCUCCGUAGGUGAACCUGCGGAGGGAUCAUUACAGAGUUCAUGCCCUACCGGGUAGAUCUCCCACCCUAUGUUAUUAUUACUUUGUUGCUUUGGCGGGCCGUUAGGCUCCGGCCCGACUACCGGCCCCGGCUGGUAAGCGCCCGCCAGAGGACCCAAAACCCUGAAUAUUAGUGUCGUCUGAGUACUAUAUAAUAGUUAAAACUUUCAACAACGGAUCUCUUGGUUCUGGCAUCGAUGAAGAACGAAGC